GACAGAGGCCACAAGCGUUAGGCGGAAUCACUGGGCUUAAAGCGUGUGUAGGCGGAUCGUUAAGUGCCUUGUGAAAUCCCACGGCUUAACCGUGGAAUGGCUGGGCAUACUGGCGGUCUUGAGCUGCCUAGGGGCGACUGGAACAGACGGUGGAGCGGUGAAAUGCGUAGAUAUCGUCUGGAACGCCUACGGUGAAAACAGGUCGCUGGGGGCAAGCUGACGCUGAGAAACGAAAGCCAGGGGAGCAAACGGG
This 253-nucleotide ribosomal RNA is filed under the name uncultured bacterium. RNAcentral describes it as "partial 16S ribosomal RNA". It matches the Rfam family "Bacterial small subunit ribosomal RNA", at positions 524 to 776 of the family's 1533-position model. The record is from RNAcentral.